This 465-nucleotide ribosomal RNA is filed under the name uncultured bacterium. RNAcentral's name for it is "partial 16S ribosomal RNA". It matches the Rfam family "Bacterial small subunit ribosomal RNA", at positions 338 to 795 of the family's 1533-position model. The record is from RNAcentral.
CCUACGGGUGGCAGCAGUAGGGAAUUUUCGUCAAUGGGCGCAAGCCUGAACGAGCAAUGCCGCGUGAACGAGGAAGGUCUUCGGAUCGUAAACCUCUGUCAGCAGGGAAGAACGGUCACUGUGCUAAUCAGCAGUGAAUUGACGGUACCUGCAAAGGAAGCACCGGCUAACUCCGUGCCAGCAGCCGCGGUAAUACGGAGGGUGCGAGCGUUAAUCGGAAUUACUGGGCGUAAAGCGCUCGUAGGCGGUAUGUCAAGUCAAGGGUGAAAUCCCCGCGCUCAACGUGGGAACUGCCUUUGAAACUGGCAAACUGGAGUGUGUGAGAGGAUAGUGGAAGUCCAGGUGUAGGAGUGAAAGCCGUAGAUAUCUGGAGGAACAUCAGUGGCGAAGGCGACUAUCUGGCACAUAACUGACGCUGAGGAGCGAAAGCGUGGGUAGCAAACAGGAUUAGAUACCCGAGUAGUC